AACGAACGCUGGCGGCAGGCCUAACACAUGCAAGUCGAGCGGACCCUUCGGGGUUAGCGGCGGACGGGUGAGUAACGCGUGGGAAUAUGCCCUUCUCUACGGAAUAGUCCUGGGAAACUGGGGGUAAUACCGUAUACGCCCUUUGGGGGAAAGAUUUAUCGGGGAAGGAUUAGCCCGCGUUGGAUUAGGUAGUUGGUGGGGUAAUGGCCUACCAAGCCGACGAUCCAUAGCUGGUUUGAGAGGAUGAUCAGCCACACUGGGACUGAGACACGGCCCAGACCCCUACGGGAGGCAGCAGGUGGGAAUCUUAGACAAUGGGGGCAACCCUGAUCUAGCCAUGCCGCGUGAGUGAUGAAGGCCUUAGGGUUGUAAAGCUCUUUCAGCUGGGAAGAUAAUGACGGUACCAGCAGAAGAAGCCCCGGCUAACUCCGUG
Molecule: ribosomal RNA, 433 nt
Filed under: uncultured bacterium
Lineage: Bacteria
Description: partial 16S ribosomal RNA
Rfam family: Bacterial small subunit ribosomal RNA
Source: RNAcentral